Long non-coding RNA from Octopus sinensis (East Asian common octopus), 246 nucleotides. RefSeq lists it as uncharacterized. The transcript has 3 exons. The record is from RefSeq and is a predicted model, not a curated record. Lineage: Eukaryota; Metazoa; Mollusca; Cephalopoda; Octopoda; Octopodidae.
GUCAGGCUAUGGAAAAAAAAGAAGGUGAAGAUAGUGCCAAUUAUUGUUGUGUCCUUGGGAACGGUAUCAGAAGGCAUCAAGAGGAAUAUAAAGGAAAUUGGAAUAGAGUGCCCAGUAGAAUUGUUACAAAAGAUUUGCCUCCUCAGCACGGCCAGAACAAUCAGGAAAGUAUUGGAUAGCUGAAAAGAAUGAAUAGCAUGGUACCGUAGCCUACAGGUAGUAAGCCCACUACGCAUGCAAGACUCC